Non-coding RNA from Megalopta genalis, 307 nucleotides. The record is from RefSeq and is a predicted model, not a curated record. Lineage: Eukaryota; Metazoa; Arthropoda; Insecta; Hymenoptera; Halictidae.
GAUAAAUAUAUUAGUUCUUUAAUUACACUUUCGGCUGCUUGGGGUGGUUCUGUCAAAGCCCUUAAAGUUUUUGCUGUUGGGGAUGACUUGGGUGCAUAUCUUCUUCGUCAAAGUAUCCUGAAAGAUCAAUAAAUAACUAGUCCUAGUCUAGGUUGGUUAUUACCAUCAAAAUUAUUUUGGAAAGAAACAGAAGUGUUGGUGGAAUCAAGUGAAAAAAACUACACAUUGUCAACUUUAAAAGAUUAUUUAAUGUAAAGUAUGAUGUAUACAAUCUGCACUCUUUUUUUAAUAGUAAAAGCAACAACAA